This 389-nucleotide long non-coding RNA is filed under the name Triticum aestivum (bread wheat). RNAcentral's name for it is "long non-coding RNA (TAES_LNC003528)". Lineage: Eukaryota; Viridiplantae; Streptophyta; Magnoliopsida; Poales; Poaceae. The record is from RNAcentral.
AAUAUAUGAACACUAUUUAGAUUGAAAAGGUCAAAAUGAUAUCGAUGGAUUCAUCCAAAUAGUAGAACAAUUUUGUACUGUAUUUGUUAUUCAAAUUCCUACUAUUGGAUCCUUUGGAAAAUAUAUCUAUUCGAAUCCAGAAAUGCUGACCCUUGAUCACUGACUGGUUUUGCACUGGUGUUCUUAAUCACCUUCCUAACAGAAUAUGACUGCAUCUUUAUUUAACUAAUUUGUGUAAACCUGCCUUUCCUCCAAAGGAUGAUUGCUAGGGAAUAUGACUGCAUCUUUAUUUAACUAAUUUGUGUAAACCUGCCUUUCCUCCAAAGGAUGAUUGCUAGGGUAAGCAUUUGUGAAUUCCAUGCAGGAGAUUCAAAGAUAUGAAGAAUCAC